GACGAACGCUGGCGGCGUGCUUAACACAUGCAAGUCGAACGGAAAGGCCCUGCUUUUGUGGGGUGCUCGAGUGGCGAACGGGUGAGUAACACGUGAGUAACCUGCCCUUGACUUUGGGAUAACUUCAGGAAACUGGGGCUAAUACCGGAUAGGAGCUCCUGCUGCAUGGUGGGGGUUGGAAAGUUUCGGCGGUUGGGGAUGGACUCGCGGCUUAUCAGCUUGUUGGUGGGGUAGUGGCUUACCAAGGCUUUGACGGGUAGCCGGCCUGAGAGGGUGACCGGCCACAUUGGGAGUGUGAGACGGCCCCGACUCCUCCGGGAGGCAGCAGUGUGGAAUAUUGCACAAUGGGCGGAAGCCUGAUGCAGCAACGCCGCGUGCGGGAUGUCGGCCUUCGGGUUGUAAACCGCUUUCGCCUGUGACGAAGCGUGAGUGACGGUAAUGGGUAAAGAAGCAACGGCUAACUCCGUG
RNAcentral lists this ribosomal RNA (468 nucleotides) under uncultured bacterium. RNAcentral describes it as "partial 16S ribosomal RNA". It matches the Rfam family "Bacterial small subunit ribosomal RNA", at positions 28 to 507 of the family's 1533-position model. The record is from RNAcentral.